RNAcentral lists this long non-coding RNA (1536 nucleotides) under Homo sapiens (human). RNAcentral describes it as "HSALNT0089200". Lineage: Eukaryota; Metazoa; Chordata; Mammalia; Primates; Hominidae. The record is from RNAcentral.
GAAGCCAAAAACCAAAAUUAGCCAGGUGUGGUGGCACGUGCCUGUAGUCCCAGCUACUUGGGAGGCUGAGGUGUGAGGAUCACUUGAACUCAGGAGGCAGAGGUUGCAGUGACCCAAGAUGGUGCCGCUGCACUCCAGCCUGGGUGACAGAGUGAGACCCUGUUUCCACAAAAAGAAAAAAAAAAUAGCCGUGCCUGUACUUCAGUACUUACAAAUUUAACUUUAGUAUAGAUGUACAGUAAUUUAUUCAAUCAUUUCCUUACUCAUAGACAAUUAGGAUGUUGCAACUUUUGCCACUACAAACAAUUCUGCGAUGUGGAUUAUCGUACUUAUUCCCAUUUAUUGGUGCUUUCAUUUCUAUAAGAAUGGAUUUUUAAAGAUAGAAUUCCUUGGGAAUAGUUAUGUCAAAGCCAAAUAUAAUAUAGAGACAAAUCUCUAAAAACAUUUUAUUUGGUAAGCAAGAGCUGCAAUUCAUGGCAUACACACAGACCGGGCUGAUCAUUGGUAUGAUCAGGAGAAUAAAGGGAAGGUUGCGGCCAGGUGUUAGCCACCACCCCGACAUUAUUUGAAACUUUUAUUUUAUCAUGAGAGAGUUCCAGGAGUCAACUGAAGAGAGAUUUUUGGUAUGAAAAUUACAUAUGCAAAAAGACUGAUUCCAGUACAUGAAAUUAAAUUCAACAUUUACAUUAAAUGCCUUCAAAUAUGGUAAAAUGGUUUCUUUUGGCAGUUUACCUCAUUAUGUUUUGAAUGAUUUGUCUAUCAUAUGAAAUAACUUUUAUAAAUAUAGUAACUCAGGCCUGGGCACAGCGGCUCAAGUGGGAGGACUGCUUAAGCAACCGAGUUUGAGACCAGCGUGGACAACAUGGGGAGACCCCUUCUCUCCCAAAAAAUAGCUGAGCAUGGCAGCGCACUGUUAAAGGAAACAGAGUUUCUUUGGUGGGUGAUUAAAAUGUUCUGGAGUUAGAUAGUAGUGAUGGUUGCACAACCUUGUGAAUAUAUUAAGGUUUCCGCUCUAUCUACCAUUCAAUUGUACUCUCUAAAACGAUUAAUUCUAUAGUAUAUCAAUUAUAUCUCUAAAUAAUAAAAACAAAAAGAAAUGGCUGGGUGCGGUGGCUCAUGCCUGUAAUCGCAGCACUUUGGGAGGCUGAGGCGGGCGGAUCACAAGGUCAGGAGUUUGAGACCAACCUGACCAACAUGGCAAAACCCAGUCUCUACUAAAAAUACAAAAAUUAGCUGGGUGUGGUGGCACACGCCUGUAAUCCCAGGUACUCGGGAAGCUGAGACAGGAGAAUCACUUGAACCCGGGAGGCAGAGGUUGCAGUGAGCCACUGCACUCCAGUCUGGGUGGCAGAGCGAGACUCCGUCUCAAAAAGAAAAAAAUUAAAAAACAAAAAGAAACCUGGUUCUAUAUUUUGUUUAAAUUUAUUUUUUUAACCAUCAUGUAAUAUGUCCAGGUAAUUUGUUUAAAUUUUGACAUCAAAUGCAAUUGUGAGAAUUUUUAUGAUUCAGAAAAAUCUAAGCAAGCUUUAUAAAAAC